This 72-nucleotide transfer RNA is filed under the name Candidatus Omnitrophota bacterium. RNAcentral's name for it is "Candidatus Omnitrophica bacterium (groundwater metagenome) tRNA-Gly". It matches the Rfam family "tRNA". Rfam says of the family: Transfer RNA (tRNA) molecules are approximately 80 nucleotides in length. Lineage: Bacteria; Pseudomonadati; Candidatus Omnitrophota. The record is from RNAcentral.
GCGAGCGUAGCUCAGCGGUAGAGCACAACCUUGCCAAGGUUGGGGUCGAGGGUUCAAAUCCCUUCGCUCGCU